This 26-nucleotide non-coding RNA is filed under the name Rattus norvegicus (Norway rat). The record is from RNAcentral. Lineage: Eukaryota; Metazoa; Chordata; Mammalia; Rodentia; Muridae.
UCUGCUCACAGAACUACUGAACCCAA